This 20-nucleotide non-coding RNA is filed under the name Mus musculus (house mouse). The record is from RNAcentral. RNAcentral also lists the same sequence under 1 other name. Lineage: Eukaryota; Metazoa; Chordata; Mammalia; Rodentia; Muridae.
AUGAGUAGGCGACACAAGUU